UAUUAGUCGAUGAUUAAGAGAGUAAAUUAUUAGUUGAUUACAGCGAGAUAGGGCAGAGUGGAAGCCUAUUAUGAUGCGAUAAUUGAACCGCACUUAUGAGACAAACUGGUGAAUCAAGUAGCUAGUUUCGCUGUCUGAGCGUUAUCAAAAUGAGUGAAUCGGAAAUAUUAUUUUAUUUCCCGUUAACUAGAGUGGUACCACGGGUAUGUUAUUUGCAACUCGUCUCUAUA
Molecule: non-coding RNA, 230 nt
Filed under: Globicatella sp.
Lineage: Bacteria; Bacillati; Bacillota; Bacilli; Lactobacillales; Aerococcaceae
Description: T-box sequence
Rfam family: T-box leader
About the family: Uncharged tRNA acts as the effector for transcription antitermination of genes in the T-box leader family. T-boxes are found upstream of many aminoacyl-tRNA synthetase genes and some amino acid biosynthetic genes usually in Gram-positive bacteria.
Source: RNAcentral